GACGGAGGUCGCAAGCGUUAUUCGGAAUUAUUGGGCGUAAAGAGUGUGUAGGCGGCCGGUUAAGUCAGGCGUGAAAGCCCAGGGCUCAACCCUGGAAGUGCGUUUGAAACUGGCUGGCUUGAGUUCGGGAGAGGGAAGCGGAAUUCCGGGUGUAGAGGUGAAAUUCGUAGAUAUCCGGAGGAACAUAGGUGGCGAAGGCGGCUUCCUGGACCGAAACUGACGCUGAGACACGAAAGCGUGGGGAGCAAACAGG
RNAcentral lists this ribosomal RNA (253 nucleotides) under uncultured bacterium. RNAcentral's name for it is "partial 16S ribosomal RNA". It matches the Rfam family "Bacterial small subunit ribosomal RNA", at positions 524 to 776 of the family's 1533-position model. The record is from RNAcentral.